GUCCACGCCUAACGAUGCAUGCUUGGUGUGGCCAUUCAUUUGGUCCGUGCCGGAGCUAACGCGUUAAGCAUGCCGCCUGGGAGUACGGUCGCAAGGCUGAAACUCAAGGAAUUGACGGGGCCCGCACAAGCGGUGGAGCAUGUGGUUCAAUUCGACGCAACGCGAAGAACCUUACCUGGGCUCGAACGGCUUCUUAACGGCGGUGGAAACAUCGCUAUCCCGCAAGGGAGUGGAGUCGAGGUGCUGCAUGGCUGUCGU
RNAcentral lists this ribosomal RNA (258 nucleotides) under uncultured bacterium. RNAcentral's name for it is "partial 16S ribosomal RNA". It matches the Rfam family "Bacterial small subunit ribosomal RNA", at positions 793 to 1055 of the family's 1533-position model. The record is from RNAcentral.